Molecule: ribosomal RNA, 435 nt
Filed under: uncultured bacterium
Lineage: Bacteria
Description: partial 16S ribosomal RNA
Rfam family: Bacterial small subunit ribosomal RNA
Source: RNAcentral
GAUGAACGCUGGCGGUAUGCUUAACACAUGCAAGUCGAACGGACUCUUCGGAGUUAGUGGCGGACGGGUGAGUAACGCGUGAGAAUCUGGCUUUGGGUUCGGGACAACCACUGGAAACGGUGGCUAAUACCGGAUGUGCCGAGAGGUAAAAGAGAAAUUGCCUGAAGAUGAGCUCGCGUCUGAUUAGCUAGUUGGUGAGGUAAAGGCUCACCAAGGCAGCGAUCAGUAGCUGGUCUGAGAGGAUGACCAGCCACACUGGGACUGAGACACGGCCCAGACUCCUAAGGGAGGCAGCAGUGGGGAAUUUUCCGCAAUGGGCGAAAGCCUGACGGAGCAAUACCGCGUGAGGGAAGAAGGCUCUUGGGUUGUAAACCUCUUUUCUUAGGGAAGAACAAAAUGACGGUACCUAAGGAAUCAGCAUCGGCUAACUCCGUG